UACGGAGGGGGCGAGCGUUAUUCGGAAUUAUUGGGCGUAAAGGGCGCGUAGGCGGCCCGGUAAGUCAAAGGUGAAAUCCCUCGGCUCAACUGAGGAACUGCCUUUGAAACUGUCGGGCUUGAGGCCGGGGGGGGGUAGCGGAAUUCCCAGUGUAGCGGUGAAAUGCGUAGAUAUUGGGAGGAACACCGGUGGCGAAGGCGGCUACCUGGACCGGUUCUGACGCUGAUGCGCGAAAGCGUGGGUAGCAAACAGG
Molecule: ribosomal RNA, 253 nt
Filed under: uncultured bacterium
Lineage: Bacteria
Description: partial 16S ribosomal RNA
Rfam family: Bacterial small subunit ribosomal RNA
Source: RNAcentral